Long non-coding RNA from Lathyrus oleraceus (garden pea), 992 nucleotides. RefSeq lists it as uncharacterized. The record is from RefSeq and is a predicted model, not a curated record. Lineage: Eukaryota; Viridiplantae; Streptophyta; Magnoliopsida; Fabales; Fabaceae. The transcript is spliced from 4 exons.
CCAAACAACUGAAAUCACAGGGUUGAGCAACCACUGAAAUCUUGUGCAGAAAACUUGGUGAAUAUUGAGAGCCAAUGAUUCCUCCUCCAACAGUGAAUGAUGGUGUUGAUUAAAUAGGGAUCGGGUGGUGCUAACAGAAAGGGGCAACUGGGGCAGUUGUUCGGGCAAGUUCAAAACAAUUACAUUUCUGUUAAGUAGCUACAUUAACUUUAAAGGCUUCUACAGCAACCAUUCAUGUCGGGUCACGAUUCUGGAAGCAAUUCAAACACCUCACGAUAUUAAUGAAGCUUGUCGAGGGACAAAUGAGGGUGUCUUAUUAUACUCACCCAUGAACCGCAAGUGGUGGAUUUAAUGGUGAAGACGCAUCGCAGAAAACGUUUAGUCCCUGCUGAAUGCCUCAGAUCAAAUGAAUGGAAAUGCUUGUGGAAAUCCAUGCUAUCAAAUUGAGUGCUUCAGAAAAUGACUCGAAAUCCGCUAUCUGCGAAUGAUGUUGAGUCAUUCUGAAAUGGGACUCUCUACCCGACAGCAAGCCGUGAAAGAGUCGGUGUCUAUCUUCGUCCAAGUGCCUGUGAACCAGUUCAGACGCACACUGCCCCGCAUAACCCAAUGCCGACAAAUCAUCAGAACAAACAGAGCCAAAUACUUGCGUCCUCCGUACAGGUAAUGGUUUAGUGACAAGGUUAUGGAGAGAUUGGAGGAUAAGGUUACCAAAUGAGUUCUGAGAUGUGAUGUUAGCUUAACAUUGAACUCAACGACGUUGGUGUUUAGACUCUCCAUACACUCCUUGCUACGUGAGCCAAAGAGAGUGAUGGCGGUGGGCAGACAACACCCAUGGGGGUACUGUUGUUACCCCAGUUUCCUUGCCCCAAGCGUAAUGAAAAAGAUACAAUUGAGCAAUUAAUGUAAACCUUGUAAAGUAAAGCAAUUAUGUAAUAGUUUUGAAUAAAAUCACUGCAACCAGUAUUAGUAAUAUAUAUAUCAUCAUGUGAUCA